AUUGAACGCUGGCGGCAUGCUUUACACAUGCAAGUCGAACGGUAACAGGGUGCUUGCACCGCUGACGAGUGGCGAACGGGUGAGUAAUGCGUCGGAACGUGCCGAGUAGUGGGGGAUAACGCAGCGAAAGUUGUGCUAAUACCGCAUACGUACUGAGGUAGAAAGUGGGGGACCUUCGGGCCUCACGCUAUUCGAGCGGCCGACGUCUGAUUAGCUAGUAGGUGAGGUAAAGGCUCACCUAGGCGACGAUCAGUGGCGGGUCUGAGAGGAGGGUCCUCCACACUGGGACUGAGACACGGCCCAGACUCCGACGGGAGGCAGCAGUGGGGAAUGUUGGACAAUGGGCGAAAGCCUGAUCCAGCCAUGCCGCGUGUCUGAAGAAGGCCUUCGGGUUGUAAAGGACUUUUGUCAGGGAGGAAAUCCCUAGUGCUAAUAACACUGGGGGAUGACAGUACCUGAAGAAUAAGCACCGGCUAACUACGUGCCAGCCGCCGCGGUAA
RNAcentral lists this ribosomal RNA (500 nucleotides) under uncultured bacterium. RNAcentral describes it as "partial 16S ribosomal RNA". It matches the Rfam family "Bacterial small subunit ribosomal RNA", at positions 30 to 523 of the family's 1533-position model. The record is from RNAcentral.